ACUCCUACGGGGGGCAGCAGUGGGGGAAUAUUGCACAAUGGGGCGCAAGCCUGAUGCAGCCAUGCCGCGUGUGUGAAGAAGGCCUUCGGGGUUGUAAAAGCACUUUCAGUCGUGAGGAAGGUGGUGUUGUUAAUAGCAGCAUCAUUUGACGUUAGCGACAGAAGAAGCACCGGCUAACUCCGUGCCAGCAGCCGCGGUAAUACGGAGGGUGCGAGCGUUAUCCGGAUUUAUUGGGUUUAAAGGGUCCGUAGGGCGGAUUAAUAAGUCAGUGGUGAAAUCCCAUCGCUUAACGAUGGAACUGCCAUUGAUACUGUUAGUCUUGAAUGAGGGUGCAGUGGGUUGGAAUGGUGUAGUGUAGCGGUGAAAUGCGAUAGAUAUU
This 379-nucleotide ribosomal RNA is filed under the name uncultured bacterium. RNAcentral's name for it is "bacterial SSU rRNA". It matches the Rfam family "Bacterial small subunit ribosomal RNA", at positions 335 to 698 of the family's 1533-position model. The record is from RNAcentral.